This 433-nucleotide ribosomal RNA is filed under the name uncultured bacterium. RNAcentral's name for it is "partial 16S ribosomal RNA". It matches the Rfam family "Bacterial small subunit ribosomal RNA", at positions 29 to 507 of the family's 1533-position model. The record is from RNAcentral.
AGCGAACGCUGGCGGCAGGCCUAACACAUGCAAGUCGAACGGAUCCUUCGGGAUUAGUGGCGGACGGGUGAGUAACACGUGGGAACGUGCCCUUUGGUUCGGAACAACUCAGGGAAACUUGAGCUAAUACCGGAUGUGCCCUUCGGGGGAAAGAUUUAUCGCCAUUGGAGCGGCCCGCGUCCGAUUAGCUAGUUGGUGAGGUAACGGCCCACCAAGGCGACGAUCAGUAGCUGGUCUGAGAGGAUGAUCAGCCACACUGGGACUGAGACACGGCCCAGACUCCUACGGGAGGCAGCAGUGGGGAAUCUUGCGCAAUGGGCGAAAGCCUGACGCAGCCAUGCCGCGUGAAUGAUGAAGGUCUUAGGAUUGUAAAAUUCUUUCAGCGGGGACGAUAAUGACGGUACCCGCAGAAGAAGCUCCGGCUAACUUCGUG